Molecule: long non-coding RNA, 864 nt
Organism: Cannabis sativa
Lineage: Eukaryota; Viridiplantae; Streptophyta; Magnoliopsida; Rosales; Cannabaceae
Exons: 2
Source: RefSeq, a predicted model, not a curated record
UAAAUUUUGUAUUGUUUAUGUUAGUUUCUUUGUUCUGUAUUGUUAUAUUUGUUCUGUUUGUUACUUUAGGCACUUUUAAAAAUUUUGGGAACGUCCAAUUACAGCCGUUAUGCUGCCAAAAUUUCGGUAGAAUUUAGUGUUAUUAGUAGCAUGAUAUUCAAUUUUGUUUGUUAAUGGUGUAGAUAUGGCCAACUCGAGUUCGGGAUCUGAUUCAGACCCAGAGGCAGAGUGUCCAACCACAAUACCUACACGAGGGCCGACGCAAAUGAAUGAAAUAUCCAAACUAAUGGAUCAGGGGAAAAGAGUGGCCCUCGAAGUUAAUGAUAAAGGUCAAUACUGUGGAAAAAGCUAUGCGAAGCUCGUAUCCACUCUAGGAGUCAGAUGUCGGCAGACAAUAGGGUUGGCUUAUAAAAACUGGAAAGAAGUCAACCCGACUCUGAAAAAUAAAGUUUGGAAAGACAUUCAGGUAAGCUAUUAUUUGUUAGAAUUUUGAUUUGUUUUUCUAUUACUCCAAAUGUUGACUCUAACCGUGUUUGUUUUCCUUCAAAAUAGACGGGGUUCAUUGUGUCGGACACCUUCAAACAUGAUUGUCUCAUCCUAGCUGGGAAGUUAAUGAAAGACUUCAAGAAUAGGAUGACAAAAGACAUCAUAAUGCCCGCGUUGAAAGAGAAUGAUCUGGGACGACUGGCACAAGUCCCUGAAAAGCACCCCGAGAUCGACGCUGCUGAUUGGUGCAAAUUUGUUGAAAGUCGACUAACUCCUGAAUUUCUGGAAUUGAGUAAGGUGCAACGUGAACGUUCCUCAAAAAUUCAAUCCAGACAUCGAAGUGGUCGGAGUGGAAUGGUGAACGUACGGGAAGUUGUG